CGACCGGCGCACGGGUGAGUAACGCGUACGCAACUUACCUCCAAGCGGGGCAUAGCCCUGGGAAACUGGGAUUAAUACCCCAUAGAAUUCAUUAAUCGCAUGAUAAAUGGAUUAAAGUGUUAGCGCUUGGAGAUGGGCGUGCGUCCUAUUAGCUAGUUGGUGAGGUAACGGCUCACCAAGGCGACGAUAGGUAGGGGGCGUGAGAGCGUGACCCCCCACACGGGUACUGAGACACGGACCCG
Molecule: ribosomal RNA, 242 nt
Filed under: uncultured bacterium
Lineage: Bacteria
Description: partial 16S ribosomal RNA
Rfam family: Bacterial small subunit ribosomal RNA
Source: RNAcentral